UACAGAGGGUGCGAGCGUUGUUCGGAAUUACUGGGCGUAAAGCGCGCGCAGGCGGCCUUUUAAGUCUGGCGGUGAAAUGCCGGGGCUCAACCCCGUUGCAUGCCGCGGAUACUGGGAGGCUGGAGACGAGUAGAGGCAAGCGGAAUUCCGGGUGUAGCGGUGGAAUGCGUAGAUAUCAGGAGGAACACCGAUGGCGAAGGCAGGUCUCUGGGCUGACACUGACGCUCAUGCACGAAAGCGUGGGGAGCAAACAGG
RNAcentral lists this ribosomal RNA (255 nucleotides) under uncultured bacterium. RNAcentral describes it as "partial 16S ribosomal RNA". It matches the Rfam family "Bacterial small subunit ribosomal RNA", at positions 524 to 776 of the family's 1533-position model. The record is from RNAcentral.